This 500-nucleotide ribosomal RNA is filed under the name uncultured bacterium. RNAcentral describes it as "partial 16S ribosomal RNA". It matches the Rfam family "Bacterial small subunit ribosomal RNA", at positions 30 to 523 of the family's 1533-position model. The record is from RNAcentral.
AUUGAACGCUGGCGGAAUGCUUUACACAUGCAAGUCGAACGGCAGCACGGACUUCGGUCUGGUGGCGAGUGGCGAACGGGUGAGUAAUGUAUCGGAACGUGCCCAGUCGUGGGGGAUAACGUAGUGAAAAUUACGCUAAUACCGCAUACGAUCUAUGGAUGAAAGCGGGGGAUCGCAAGACCUCGCGCGAUUGGAGCGGCCGAUAUCAGGGUAGGUAGUUGGUGGGGUAAAGGCCCACCAAGCCAACGAUCUGUAGCUGGUCUGAGAGGCCGACCAGCCACACUGGAACUGAGACACGGUCCAGACUCCUACGGGAGGCAGCAGUGGGGAAUUUUGGACAAUGGGCGAAAGCCUGAUCCAGCCAUUCCGCGUGCAGGAUGAAGGCCCUCGGGUUGUAAACUGCUUUUGUACAGAACGAAAAGGUUUCUACUAGUACUAGGAGCUCAUGACGGUACUGUAAGAAUAAGCACCGGCUAACUACGUGCCAGCAGCCGCCGUAA